ACCCUUUUAGCUCAAUGGUUGAGCGUUGGCACAGGUCGGUGGUUCGAGCCCACCAGGGCACA
RNAcentral lists this transfer RNA (62 nucleotides) under Phytophthora infestans T30-4. RNAcentral's name for it is "tRNA-Ser". The record is from RNAcentral. Lineage: Eukaryota; Oomycota; Peronosporomycetes; Peronosporales; Peronosporaceae.